This 301-nucleotide ribosomal RNA is filed under the name uncultured bacterium. RNAcentral's name for it is "partial 16S ribosomal RNA". It matches the Rfam family "Bacterial small subunit ribosomal RNA", at positions 509 to 807 of the family's 1533-position model. The record is from RNAcentral.
CAGUAGCCGCGGGAAUACGGAGGGAGCUAGCGUUGUUCGGAAUUACUGGGCGUAAAGCGCGCGUAGGCGGUUACUCAAGUCAGAGGUGAAAGCCCGGGGCUCAACCCCGGAACUGCCUUUGAAACUAGGUGACUAGAAUCUUGGAGAGGUCAGUGGAAUUCCGAGUGUAGAGGUGAAAUUCGUAGAUAUUCGGAAGAACACCAGUGGCGAAGGCGACUGACUGGACAAGUAUUGACGCUGAGGUGCGAAAGUGUGGGGAGCAAACAGGAUUAGAUACCCCAGUAGUCCCUGUCUCUUAUAC